CAACAAAGUACUGAUCUAGUAAAAUAAAAACAUUGCUGAUUUUGCAGAACAGUUUAUAAAUACCAAUGCCGGAAUUCACCAUAUCACAUAGGAAGUUAUACUUUCAUACAAAUUAAAAAUACAUCAAGAGAAAAACAGUAAAUAGUUGAGUUGAAUAAUAGUAAAAAAGAAAAAUCUAAAAGGAAGGGAAUAUUAUUUUUCAUACAUGGCACAGUGAAGUUGAAGCGGG
This 229-nucleotide long non-coding RNA is filed under the name Mytilus galloprovincialis (Mediterranean mussel). The record is from RNAcentral. Lineage: Eukaryota; Metazoa; Mollusca; Bivalvia; Mytilida; Mytilidae.